RNAcentral lists this long non-coding RNA (274 nucleotides) under Lathyrus oleraceus (garden pea). RNAcentral's name for it is "Pisum sativum (pea) long non-coding RNA (PSAT_LNC038840)". The record is from RNAcentral. Lineage: Eukaryota; Viridiplantae; Streptophyta; Magnoliopsida; Fabales; Fabaceae.
UUUCUGUUUUUCAAAGUUUGCAAAGGAUCAAUCGAUUUAUCCUCAGUGUCAAUCGAUUGGUUCACUAAAAUUUUCCACUGUUCCAAAACAGAAAGUUUGUGCAAUCGAUUGUAAUACACUGUCAAUCGAAUGGUCCUGCUAAAAUUCCAUUUUCUACAAAACAAAAGGGUUGUGCAAUCGAUUGGUUGCAGGGACCAAUCGAUUGGUCCUCACACAUUUCCACAUUUUCACUUCACAGAACACCAUUUCCUCUAUUACUACAUUUCUAACAAAC